GUGUUCUUUAAACCGCACAUUUACGUCGAACACAUACUAUGAGAGUUAAAUCGCUGAAAUGAAAAAAUGCACAGAAUGUCUCAUCUUCAUUAAAAUAUAUCCCACGCUCUCAAAUUUUCGUAUUAAAUGUGAUUAAUUACGGUUGUAUUUCGACAUUUGGGGAGAAUGACUUGAACUGCAGUAUGACCCGGAAGUGUUUCUAACUCCGGAAACCAGCGAAGGGAUGCGACCGAACAGCUCAGUUCGUACAACUGCAAAGAAAGCUAAAACAAAUAUGGGUGAAAAACAGCCUUUUCCCAUGUAAAACCGUAAACAGCGCAGUACAAACUGGAAAUACGAACACUUCGCAUAGUCAAGAAAUAGCUAUCAUUAAAACAGCGUUGGUUAUCGCUCGGCGAAAUGGCCUGUCUGCUAGCUCGCCAGCCCAGCGGAAAUUGCGUUUUGUUAACGGCUUGAAAACAGUGCAGACGGCGAGACGGGGCCUUGCUUUGCAAACUACUUUCUUCUGGAUGCUGGACGGGUUGUCGCCUUCCCAGUUUUCUUCUUCCCUUUCAUCAUUCAGAAGCUGCAGUUUGGGAGCCCCUGUUUUGGACGUUCUCCCCAGGCGACUCCUCGCCCUUCCCCGUCCGGAUCUUUUGGAGACCGCGGGGCUGUCAGGCUGAAGGAGGGGAAUGUGAACGAAAGAUGAAAUGCUGUCCCGCGGUUUUUCUACACUCCAUAUUCGCACUGUACGCGGUACAGUCCGGUGCGGUGCGCGCGCACAGCCGCGGUGGCGCUGACGGAGAGCGCGCGGACAGCCCGCGAGGCGCACAGCCACAGAAGAAUUUGGUAACAGUCACUGGAAGGAGUUGCCUUGCCUCACUUCAGUUUCCAUCUCAUCCUCCACCUUCUAUAAGUAAAACACAACAACAAAGGUGACCUGACUGUUUAUUCUUCACCGGUAAAGAAAAUGGACAGCAUCGUUGAACUGGGCCAUGAUCAACCUGCUCUGCAUCUUGCAACUACCUAAACCAAAGAGUCUUGUUUUUGGUAACAGAGCAACAAGGCCAAUAAGAAAAGGCAAAAAAAGUGAAUGGUCUAAGUAGCAACUGAAUACACCUAAAUUUCCAAAGAGAAGAAACUAUCUGAAUAGUGGCUAAAACAGGUUCCAUCAUUUACAACAAGGAAAAACAUAAUAGUCAACAACUGAAAUUGUAUUGCAGAUUCAAAUGACAUUAAAGAACAGGUUACAUACGGUAACCAACAGGCCAGUAGGGUUUUGGGGUAUAUAGCAAAUGCAGAUAAAAUGUCUUCAAGUUCACUAAGACAAAUACUGACAAAGCUAAACAGCACUUAAUCAGCUUGGUUCUGAACAAAUCUUUGCUCUUCUUGGAUUUACACUGAUGAAGCAGUGAUACUAAGAAGUGUUAAGCAGCAGGAGCAUACUGCAAACCUGCUAUAUCAGUGAAAAGCAGUCUGAUUUUAAAAAAGACACCUAUGGUUC
RNAcentral lists this long non-coding RNA (1483 nucleotides) under Scleropages formosus (Asian bonytongue). RNAcentral's name for it is "lncRNA (ENSSFOG00015030557.1)". Lineage: Eukaryota; Metazoa; Chordata; Actinopteri; Osteoglossiformes; Osteoglossidae. The record is from RNAcentral.